This is a non-coding RNA of Pelobates cultripes (western spadefoot toad), 205 nucleotides long. The record is from the annotation of a GenBank genome assembly. NCBI's taxonomy places the organism in Eukaryota, Metazoa, Chordata, Amphibia, Anura, Pelobatidae.
GUCCUAUGAGUGUGCUGUGUGAGGGUGCUGUGUGUGUGAGGGUGCUGUUUGUGUGAUGUGUGUGGGUGUCGUGUGUUUGUGAGGGUACUGUUAGUGUGCUGUGUGUGAGGGUACUGUUAGUGUGCUGUGUGUGAGGGUGCUGUUUGUGUGCUGUGUGUGUGAGGGUGCUGUGUGUGUGUGUGUGUGUGUUUGUGAGGGUUCUGUU